RNAcentral lists this transfer RNA (85 nucleotides) under Rhizobium sp. RNAcentral describes it as "tRNA-Leu". It matches the Rfam family "tRNA". Rfam says of the family: Transfer RNA (tRNA) molecules are approximately 80 nucleotides in length. Their secondary structure includes four short double-helical elements and three loops (D, anti-codon, and T loops). Lineage: Bacteria; Pseudomonadati; Pseudomonadota; Alphaproteobacteria; Hyphomicrobiales; Rhizobiaceae. The record is from RNAcentral. RNAcentral also lists the same sequence under 102 other names.
GCCCCAUUGGCGGAAUUGGUAGACGCGCUCGACUCAAAAUCGAGUUCCGAAAGGAGUGCUGGUUCGACCCCGGCAUGGGGCACCA